Molecule: long non-coding RNA, 219 nt
Organism: Neodiprion fabricii
Lineage: Eukaryota; Metazoa; Arthropoda; Insecta; Hymenoptera; Diprionidae
Exons: 4
Source: RefSeq, a predicted model, not a curated record
AGCCGCCAUCCACUCUUUGAGCAAUCCGUACACGACGCUCUUCCGAUCUUAAGGAAAGAAACGGUCAAUACACGACCGUCAUCCAUUUAAGAAACACGCGAUACUUAUCCGAUAAUUCAGUAAUAAUCACGCAAAUAGAUAUGAAUAUAACAGGGUUCAAUUUACUUAUAGAAAUCGUGUUCCGACUCGUCCUUUUUGAUGUUAUUUUUAUACCCUUUU